This 2807-nucleotide long non-coding RNA is filed under the name Homo sapiens (human). RNAcentral's name for it is "HSALNT0234344". The record is from RNAcentral. Lineage: Eukaryota; Metazoa; Chordata; Mammalia; Primates; Hominidae.
UGAUUAACGCAUUAAAAUAGCUUCAAGUGAGAGAAACUGGUACAAAAGUAAUGCUUUGAAAAGGUAAAAUGUAGCUGGGAGGACUGAAUUAUCAGAAGGGAUGAGUCUUUCUGAUUAUCAGAAGGGAUGAGAGAACAAACAGCGAGAGCCUAUGCCUGGGACAGAAUAAGACUAUGCACUGAUGAGAACACAGCAGGCUCGGUGCACAGAGAAGGUCCUAGAGUGGAUCCAACUACUAUGAUCAAGUCUUCACGUCAGCUCUUGCCACUAACAAAGAAGCCUAUUGGAGGGCCUUUUGGUAUCGUGGCUUUUCAGAAAGCUCUACAAGCAAAUAUCAGAUGACUUGUCAACAUUUUCCCUUUUGGUCUUUAUUAAAAUCACUCUACAGGACAUUGGUCAAGACUGGACUUUGCAACUCUGGACAGUAGGAAGCUACACCAACACUAACCUAGCCUUACAAUUAUGAAUAUUGAGGAAGGAUUCUGAAAUCACCAUUGCCAAAGCCUGCCUGCUUCCCAGCCUGGACUCUUUCCUUCUUCCAAGGCCCAGAUAUCAUCAAGAGGCAUCUCCAGUCUUGGUCCCAGGUCCAACUCCUGCCAUAACAUUCCAGUUUCUCCAGGAUGGGUCUCCUAGGAAUGAGAAGAGUGCCACAAAUAUCCACUACCCUCACUGCCUACUCUGCCACCUAAGCUGGCCAGCUGAUGGCCUUCCACUCACCCUAUGGUCUAUUCCCGGGGCUCCCACCCACUUACCGGAAGCUCCACUUCUUUCAGGAACACCCAGAGUGUCUGCUAAGGCUCUGCCCAUCAUUUGUCUGCAUUCCUUCUGGCCCACUCUCCCUCAAAGCACCAGCCUCACCCCAGGAUAUGGACUUCAUUGCAGGGUUACCGCUUGUGAUAGUUUUAUGUGUUAACUUGGUCAGGCUAUAGGACCCAGUUAUUCAAUUGAACACUAGUCCAGAUGUUGAUGGGAAGGUGAUAUGAAGACUUGGUUAAGAUCUGCAACCAGUUGACUUUAAGUAAAAGAGAUUAUUCUUGAUAAUCUUGGUGAACUUCAUCCAAUUGGUUGAAAGGCCUUAAGAACAAAAUUGAGGUUUCCCAGAGGAAGAAGAAAUCCCAUCUGUGGACUGCAAAAUCAUCUCCCGCUGGAGAGUACACAGCCUGAGGGCCUGCCCUGUGGAUUUUAGACUUACCAGCCUCCACAACAUGAAUGUGUGUGUGUGUGUAUGUGUAUGUGUGUGUGUGUAUGUGUGUGUGUGUGUGUGUGUGUGUGUGUGUAUGUGUGUGUGUAUUAAUCCAUUACUGGUUCUCUUCUCUGUUAGCAUCCUUCCUGCCCAGGAACCCCUGCCACUACCACUGCCCACACAGCCAGCAGAUCAAACCCAAAAUGGCCAAAAUCUGAUCUCAUUGCUCCCACAAUUCACAUCAAAACCACCCAGCUCCUAGUCACAAGAUCACUUUACCAGGCUGACUGUCCUGUUAACAUUUAACAAUAUCAAAAGCCAAUAACAUUUUCCUGAGCCAUUCCUGUGGCCUGAGAUGAUGCUAAUCACCAUGUAUGAAUUCAUUUAAUCUUCCUGCCAUCCUAUAUGGUAGGAAUUAUUAUUAUUCCUAUUUAUCCAAAGAAAGAAUCAAGACUCAGCAGCACCUUCAUGGAGGUGACUUAAGGUCCCCUGGCUACUAAAAGGUGGAGCUGGUAUUCACACCUGCUCCAGCAACUUCCCAGUCCCAGUUUCUGGGGCCUCUGGCUUAAGCUGUUUUCUUGCUUCCAGUUUUACCCUAAAUCCAUGUUCUACAUAGUAGUGAUAGUAGAGCUGAAUGUUGACCUCCUAAGAGAUACGUCCACCUGAAACUUGUGAAUGUGACCGUGUUUCGAAAAAAUAUCUUGGCAGACAUAAUUAAGAACCUCGAGAUAAUAUCCUUAAUUAGAGUGGGCCCUAAAUCUGGUCAUAAGUGAGCUCACAAGAGAAGGGGCAAGGCACAAAGAGGAAAAGGCCAUGUGAAGAUGAAGUCAGAGACUAGAGUGGUACAACUACAACCCAGGAGAUGCUAAGAAUUUCCAACAACUGCCAGAAACGAGAAGAGAGGCAUAAAACAGCUUCUCCCUCAGAGGCUCCAGAAGGAACCAACUCUGCUGACCUUUUGAUUUUAGACUUCUGACCUCCAGAACUGUGGAAAAAUAAUUGCUAUUGUUUCAGCCACCUAGUCAAUGUGUGGAUUAAAGUAUUUUUUGUUCCGGCAACCCCAGGAAACUAAUACAGUGGUCAAAGUGAUGCUUUAAACACGUAACUCAGAUCGUGUCAUUUUCCUAUGGAAAACCCUCCAAUGACAUCCUAUUACACUCGAGUAAAAUUCAAACUCUUUACUCAGGCCCGCCAGGCCCAAUAGAGUCUGGUCUUGCCUUCCCCUCUUACUCGUGACAUCCUCCAUCCUCACGCCCCUGAUCGGUUCACCCUAGCCACACCAGUGAUCUUUCUGUUCCCAAAUGCACCAAACCCAUGCCUGCCUGAGGAUCUUCAGACUGACUGCUCCUUCUGCCUGGAAAUGUUUCCCCCAGAUAUUCCCAGGGCUGGCUCCUAUUCACCUUCAGGACUCCAAAGUCCCCUUCUCAGAAAGGCCUCCUCUGACCACAAAUUCUAAAAUAGCCCUUCCCCAAGCACACCCUAUCCCACUGCCCGGUCCUGUAUUUCUUCACAGUCCUUAUACUUGUUUACCUGAUUGGUUUAUGAGUAUUAUCUGUUUGUCAUGAGAGCAGAUUCUUGUCUGCUUAUUCACUGAUCAAUCUCCAGCACCAAAAACAAUGCUGGG